AUAUAAACAAUUUUAAUGCAUAUGGGAAUACACAUUUAUGCCAGUGUGUGUGUGUGUGUGUUAAUGUCACUGGCUCGUUGCUGGUGGUGGUUUUGGAUUUUUUGCAGUAUGGAGAAAUUUCAUGGAAACAUACAUCAAAUCCAUGUUAAAUUUUAUAUUUUCUAUCAAUAUCCACAUUAUUUUGUAUCAAUUUCUUCCACAUGCCUUUGUAUUGGAAAAGGAAAUAUCAAGUGUUUCUCUCUUGCUCUCUUUUUCAAAAGAGACACGGAUGUCUUGUUUAAUUUAUUAAAGAAUUUUUCAGUGAAAAUGUUUAAAAGACAUGCCCUAUUUCUUCAAAAUAUGCUAAUUUUUAUAAAAUGUAGAUCAUUUUCACAAAAAUACUCAUGUUUUUUAUAUUAAAAAUCA
Long non-coding RNA from Musca domestica (house fly), 405 nucleotides. RefSeq lists it as uncharacterized. The transcript is spliced from 2 exons. Lineage: Eukaryota; Metazoa; Arthropoda; Insecta; Diptera; Muscidae. The record is from RefSeq and is a predicted model, not a curated record.